CCUAAAGUAACUCCUGCUCAGUGACCCCAAACAGCGGCAGAGAUUUUAUGACUGUGCUAAGGAAGCAUAAUCACUUGUCUUUUAAUUAAAGAAUAGAAUGAACGGAAAAACGAAUCUUAGACUGUCUCAUAUUUACCUAAUAAAUUUACUAUAAAAGUAAAAACACUUUUUUUUAAAAAAAAGACGAUAAGACCCUAAAGAACUUUACUAAAGUUAAGCUGGGGCGGCUUUUUAAAAAAAUCUUAACACAAUUACACUUAACCUAAUUUUAAACUCAACGUUACCUUAGGGAUAACAGCAUAAUUUAAUUUUACAGCUCUUAUUAAAAAUUAAGAUUAUGACCUCGAUGUUGAAUUAAAAUUCUACUAAACGAAAAAAAUUAGUGAGAAAGUCUGUUCGACUUUUAAAUAUUUACAUGAUUUGAGUUCAGACCGGUGUAAGCCAGGUCGGUUUCUAUCUUUUUUAAAGAUGUAUCAGUACGAAAGGACCAUAUGACUUACUAUAAAU
RNAcentral lists this ribosomal RNA (507 nucleotides) under Dysdera alegranzaensis. RNAcentral's name for it is "partial 16S ribosomal RNA". It matches the Rfam family "Bacterial large subunit ribosomal RNA", at positions 1846 to 2713 of the family's 2925-position model. Lineage: Eukaryota; Metazoa; Arthropoda; Arachnida; Araneae; Dysderidae. The record is from RNAcentral.